Molecule: long non-coding RNA, 405 nt
Organism: Hibiscus syriacus
Lineage: Eukaryota; Viridiplantae; Streptophyta; Magnoliopsida; Malvales; Malvaceae
Exons: 3
Source: RefSeq, a predicted model, not a curated record
GGAGAUUAGAGCUGGAGAUGACAAAAGUGGGAACCCAGCAGAAUCACACAAGCCGAAAUCUUUUAACAAAUCACCAUUUUUCAAUCCUCCUUAAACCUAGUUCAACUCCCCAUUUUUAAGUUUAUUUCUGCCAAUACCGGUCUUAAUUUCCUCCAUUUCAUCCUCUGCAAAGGUGUAAAUGUGUGAACUGGGAGAGAUCGGUUAGAUUUGCGAUAUUGCAGAGAAAGAUGAGUUGCGGUUGCUUUGGUGGAUCAGUUGUUAAACGGAGCACCGGUCAGGACACCAGCGAUAUAGACGAGCAAUUGCUUCGGAGAGUUAACCAUUUCUCAGGCAAUCAAUUAAGAUCAGCCACAGAUGAUUUUCAUUCGAACAAUAAAAUAGGGCGUGGAGGUUUCGGAACAGUUU